Molecule: ribosomal RNA, 1373 nt
Filed under: uncultured bacterium
Lineage: Bacteria
Description: bacterial SSU rRNA
Rfam family: Bacterial small subunit ribosomal RNA
Source: RNAcentral
GAUGAACGCUGGCGGCGUGCCUAAUACAUGCAAGUCGAGCGAACGGACGAGAAGCUUGCUUCUCUGAUGUUAGCGGCGGACGGGUGAGUAACACGUGGAUAACCUACCUAUAAGACUGGGAUAACUUCGGGAAACCGGAGCUAAUACCGGAUAAUAUUUUGAACCGCAUGGUUCAAAAGUGAAAGACGGUCUUGCUGUCACUUAUAGAUGGAUCCGCGCUGCAUUAGCUAGUUGGUAAGGUAACGGCUUACCAAGGCAACGAUGCAUAGCCGACCUGAGAGGGUGAUCGGCCACACUGGAACUGAGACACGGUCCAGACUCCUACGGGAGGCAGCAGUAGGGAAUCUUCCGCAAUGGGCGAAAGCCUGACGGAGCAACGCCGCGUGAGUGAUGAAGGUCUUCGGAUCGUAAAACUCUGUUAUUAGGGAAGAACAUAUGUGUAAGUAACUGUGCACAUCUUGACGGUACCUAAUCAGAAAGCCACGGCUAACUACGUGCCAGCAGCCGCGGUAAUACGUAGGUGGCAAGCGUUAUCCGGAAUUAUUGGGCGUAAAGCGCGCGUAGGCGGUUUUUUAAGUCUGAUGUGAAAGCCCACGGCUCAACCGUGGAGGGUCAUUGGAAACUGGAAAACUUGAGUGCCGAAGAGGAAAGUGGAAUUCCAUGUGUAGCGGUGAAAUGCGCAGAGAUAUGGAGGAACACCAGUGGCGAAGGCGACUUUCUGGUCUGUAACUGACGCUGAUGUGCGAAAGCGUGGGGAUCAAACAGGAUUAGAUACCCUGGUAGUCCACGCCGUAAACGAUGAGUGCUAAGUGUUAGGGGGUUUCCGCCCCUUAGUGCUGCAGCUAACGCAUUAAGCACUCCGCCUGGGGAGUACGACCGCAAGGUUGAAACUCAAAGGAAUUGACGGGGACCCGCACAAGCGGUGGAGCAUGUGGUUCAAUUCGAAGCAACGCGAAGAACCUUACCAAAUCUUGACAUCCUUUGACAACUCUAGAGAUAGAGCCUUCCCCUUCGGGGGGGCAAAGUGACAGGUGGUGCAUGGUUGUCGUCAGCUCGUGUCGUGAGAUGUUGGGUUAAGUCCCGCAACGAGCGCAACCCUUAAGCUUAGUUGCCAUCAUUAAGUUGGGCACUCUAAGUUGACUGCCGGUGACAAACCGGAGGAAGGUGGGGAUGACGUCAAAUCAUCAUGCCCCUUAUGAUUUGGGCUACACACGUGCUACAAUGGACAAUACAAAGGGCAGCGAAACCGCGAGGUCAAGCAAAUCCCAUAAAGUUGUUCUCAGUUCGGAUUGUAGUCUGCAACUCGACUACAUGAAGCUGGAAUCGCUAGUAAUCGUAGAUCAGCAUGCUACGGUGAAUACGUUCCCGGGUCU